GGCUCAGGACGAACGCUGGCGGCGUGCUUAACACAUGCAAGUCGAACGGAGUUACGUUUUCGGAUGUAACUUAGUGGCGGACGGGUGAGUAACGCGUGAGGAACCUGCCUUUCAGAGGGGGACAACAGUUGGAAACGACUGCUAAUACCGCAUAACGCGUAGAGAUCGCAUGGUCUUUACGCCAAAGAUUUAUCGCUGAGAGAUGGCCUCGCGUCUGAUUAGCUAGUUGGUGAGGUAACGGCCCACCAAGGCGACGAUCAGUAGCCGGUCUGAGAGGAUGAACGGCCACAUUGGGACUGAGAUACGGCCCAGACUCCUACGGGAGGCAGCAGUGGGGAAUAUUGGGCAAUGGGGGAAACCCUGACCCAGCAACGCCGCGUGAAGGAAGAAGGCCCUCGGGUUGUAAACUUCUUUUACCAGGGACGAAGAACGUGACGGUACCUGGAGAAAAAGCAACGGCUAACUACGUG
This 470-nucleotide ribosomal RNA is filed under the name uncultured bacterium. RNAcentral describes it as "bacterial SSU rRNA". It matches the Rfam family "Bacterial small subunit ribosomal RNA", at positions 21 to 507 of the family's 1533-position model. The record is from RNAcentral.